UGAAGACUCUGACUCCAGUUAACUAUUCAGAAAUAUUUCCUCAAAAAAAGAAAGGGUCUGCUAAGGGUCUGGAGAUUCGGCUACAAGAAGGUUCUAAGCCAGAGAUAUAUUCAGAAGAAGAUGAGAAGCUUUUGGGUGAUUGUCAGUCGACGUGGACUUUGUUCGUGGAUGGAUAUGGCAAGGAUGGAAAGCGCAUGUAUGAUCAGGAGAAGGUUGAAUCAUGCCAUCAAUGCAGAAAGAUGCCUUCAAGAAGUCUGCAAGAGCUGAUCAUGAAGGGAGCUAUUCUAUGUGAGGCAAAAUGCAAAAAUUUUAAAACUUGCAAAGAGAUCUCACUUCCCUCAGUGAUUUUUCUUGUUUGGACGGUUACAUGUGACUAGGCCUUUUCCUUGGGGAACUCAAUACGUGUUAUCUGAUAUUUUCACUAGUUUCACAGGAAAACUUCUACAAGUCAUAGACUAGUGAGCCCAAAAUCAUGUUGCCAUGUGAAAUGUUAUUAUAUUGUAUAUAGUCCAUAUAUAUAUUGAAAGUAUAUAAUAUAUUUAAAAACUCAUAGAAAAAUAUAUGUAUAAAAUUGGUUCAAUUUCAGUUUGGUAUGGUUAUAGUUUUGUUCUUUGUGAAGAACCAAAAUAGUAAAAUAAGUUUACAAUUUUGAUCAAUUUGGCACAAUUCUUCAGUUCAUUUGAGGACUGCAAGAACCGUGUGCACCCCUAGUCCCCUACUUUUCACAACUAGAUCCUUGAAGGUCUUAUUUAGAAUCAUCAUAUGGACGUCAAUUGUUUGGAAUCCUGAAAAUUAUUUUGCCCCAGCUUAACACACUCUCAAUGCAUUGGUGGAACUGAAAAACUUGUGUGAAAUUUGUUGACUUCCAACAAGCUCUCAUAUGCUGUUAGUUAUGGCCAAAUUUAAUAGCUUGUUGUGUCGCCAUUUUGUGUAGUUUUGUUUCACUAAUUUUUCUUCUAUUUUGAUCUUCAUAAGUUUUUAUUACUUUCCAUGGAAUAGGGUUUCAAUUCUUUUGCACACAAAGGUAUCGCUACUGCCAGAGAAGGAUCUAUAUAUUUCCACACCAAAACCUUCCACAGAUUCCUGGUUUUCAGUUUGAAUGGUGAUGUCAUAAUGUUAAAUGCUUGUUUAUGUGAUAAAUGAUGAGCCUGCAACUUACUGAGCAAUUACCAUUAUCCUGUUCUGUAGCUUUCAAAUUUAAUUGUUUUUCUAGUGUGAUUGGUCAUCUAGUUGUAAUAACCAAUCAUUUAUUUUAUGUAAUCUCCCCAGCUUCAUUGAAGCUUUCUUAGAGAUGACAUCCUCUCAUGCAGGCAGAAAACUCAUGGGCAUCAUACCCAUUGCAGUAAAUGCAACACAGGCCAAGGGCAAUUUUGUGGGGAUUGCUUAUACAUGAGGUAUUUAUUGAAAUUCUCAAAACUAAAGUAGGCCACUUGUUCAUCCAUUUUAGCACUUUCCUCCUGCAUUUCUAUGUUUCUUGGACAAGUUCCAGAAAAUAAGUAAUUUGAAAUGCUAUUAUGACUCUGAGAGGACCAUAAAGAGUCCCUAAUGAAUGCAAUGUGUCACAAGUUUGGUUCUCAAAAUGUCUCCUGAUCUAUGGUCUUAUUGCUGGUAAGACAGAAGACAAACAUAGAUCAAAUUUUGGUUUGCUAUUUGCUGCAUGGUGAGUAGUCUUUACCUUUUUAUUUUUUUACUGUGCUUUGAAAUAUUGAGAAAAAAAAAUAUUUUUUUUCUGCAGUUUUAAGUAUUCUUUAUGAAAGAAGUAAAAUCAAAUAACAAAUUUCUUCCUAGGUCCCACUUCUCAUCCCAAUGAUGAGGUAAGUAUGAUUAUAGCAAAUUGUGCAGUGAAAUGCCUUAGCUUAAUUAGUUAAGGGUUCUAAAGAGCCCUUUUUGUCGUCCAUCUGCUUCCGUAUUUAUUGCAUGUAAUCAAUUGAUUGUCAGUACAAAAAGGAUACUGGAAAUGCAAUUUCAUUUUAAGCAUGCCAUAAAGAACUUUGGUGUGUCCGAGAUAAAAAAAUCAGUCUUCCAAUAUUGGUGUUUAUAAUAGUUAGUAUUAGAAUUUGGAAAUUAGAAUGUGGUCACUUCCUGUUUCCGUCUUGUACAGGUAUGGAGAGAAUGUGAUCGAAGUCAAUGAGAAUCCGAAUUGGAUUUGCCCUGUUUGUCGUGGAAUUUGCAAUUGCAGCAUUUGCCGGAAGGCGAAAGGAUGGGCACCAACUGGUUCUCUUUUUAGAAAGGUUAAUACCAUCAAUCUUUUGUGUGUGCAAGCAUGUUUUCUGAACAUUUACUUCAUAAUGCUCAUUAUGCUCUAUAGUCUUGUAGACAUAUCCUUUUGAUGCCCUGUGGUUUUGGCCUUCCAGUUUCUCAGUUUAACAAUUGCAAUUUCAAACAGACUCUUCCCCCCAUUUCUAUAAUUGCAGUAAGGACUUAUUGAAGUGGAAGUGGAGUUUUCAGACAGAAGUUGCUAAUAAAAGUUUGAUGCUUGCAUGUAUGAGAGUGCAUAUUCCACAAUGGGUAGUGAUAAUAGUGCACACCUUAUGCAAUGAUGUGGCUUCUGUUGAUGGUGUCAAAAGAAUGCCAAUGCAGAUCCAAGUAGCAUGUCGAUCAUGCAGUGGCUAACUUUGGUUUACUUUUCAGGUUACUAGGCUAGGCUUUAAGUCUGUGGCACAUUAUUUGAUUCAAACCCGACGUUCUAAAAUUCACUCGGAAUAUUCUGAUGUUGAAAAUCUGCAGUCUGAAGGGAAAGAACUGCCUCCUGCAAAUCAAGGAUCCCAGCUUGCCACCCAUUAUGAAUCUCUACAUGCAGAUGAGCACAAAAAUAGAUACCCUGAUCUUGAGCCUGAUGGCAAUGAAGUUGAGAUGGAAGAAGACAAAAAGCAAGUGUUCUGCUCUGGUAGUAGCAAACCUGUUGGUAUGAAUGAUGUAUUUAAUGACAGCGACAGUGAUAAUUCUGUUUAUGAUGUUAAUGAGCCCAAAGAGGAUAUAGAAAACAUGGGGGUUGAUAAAACUGGUGAUCAUGAUAAUUGAAGGAAAGAGAGAGAAAACAUGGGUAUGCAGUGAUUUAGUGAAUCCAACUUACAUAUUGGCAUCAGAGUAAUUCUAAUCCUCAGUUAGAAGAAUGAGAAUUACACUAAUGCUCAGAAGAAUGACUUUCUCUUUCUGAUGAAAAUUGUUCCCAUAUUCACUAGUAAGGACUCCCAGUCUAUGCCUUUGUGUACAAUGGGAGCACUACAUAUGAAGUUUUGUAAACUUGUUGCUUUUGUCAAGUUAUUCCAUGUUCUUAUUGUCUUCAUUGGCAAUGUUUGUAGAUUUCUUUUUGUUCAUUUGGUACCUCAGAAUCGUUUCUCAUCUGAAUAUGUAGGCUUAUUUUUCGUGGUGUAGUGCCUGUGUUGUGUACAUUAUAACAUGAUUAUGCAGUAUAUGGUACUGCUAAAUCAGAGGUGUUGGCAGUUGAAUUUAUGUUGUCAAGUUCUCAG
RNAcentral lists this unclassified non-coding RNA (3470 nucleotides) under Hevea brasiliensis (rubber tree). Lineage: Eukaryota; Viridiplantae; Streptophyta; Magnoliopsida; Malpighiales; Euphorbiaceae. The record is from RNAcentral.